AGUCCGACUGUUGUUGGUGAGAAGUUGAGAAAGUAGGAUAUAGAGGGGAAAUUAAUUUUUAACUAUAAGCCACGAUAAACCAUUGCUUACCAAAAACGAUUCUGAGCGGAGAUCUGUUAAUAGUGAUGCUUUGUCAACAAUAUAUAUGUCAUAUUAUGGUAGAAUCAUUAAAUAGGCAUUAUACAUUUCGUUUAAUAAUAUUUGUUUAAUAUUGUACCGAAUUUCCCGUUUUUCCUACGUUUUUCACAUUCGCUCUUGGGAAUAUCGAACGAUUUUCUUUUGGACAAAGGUCUACAUCGUAUACAUUGGAGUAAGCUUCCUGGUAGAAAAAGUGUUCACAUAAAAAAAAGAAAAUAAACAUCAUCCUAGUAAAACCACGCAGAAUCUAAUAAAAAAAUACCGAAAACCCUGUGCUAGUCUCUUUAACGAUUGGGUUUCUUUAUUUAUAAAAACAUUUUCAAUCUGUAAUUAGUUCAUUACAAUAAGUAUGUAUGAAAAUAUAGAGGAUUCAAGAGGGCAGAAUCGAGACAUAAAAAGUUGACAACGAUGUUUCUCUUCUUUUGAAUGUCAAACGUGCAAAGUUUCU
Molecule: non-coding RNA, 586 nt
Organism: Cinara cedri
Lineage: Eukaryota; Metazoa; Arthropoda; Insecta; Hemiptera; Aphididae
Source: the annotation of a GenBank genome assembly